AGAGCUCGUAGGCGGUUUGUCGCGUCUGCCGUGAAAGUCCGGGGCUUAACUCCGGAUCUGCGGUGGGUACGGGCAGACUUGAGUGAUGUAGGGGAGACUGGAAUUCCUGGUGUAGCGGUGAAAUGCGCAGAUAUCAGGAGGAACACCGAUGGCGAAGGCAGGUCUCUGGGCAUUAACUGACGCUGAGGAGCGAAAGCAUGGGGAGCGAACAGGAUUAGAUACCCUGGUAGUCCAUGCCGUAAACGUUGGGCACUAGGUGUGGGGGACAUUCCACGUUUUCCGCGCCGUAGCUAACGCAUUAAGUGCCCCGCCUGGGGAGUACGGCCGCAAGGCUAAAACUCAAAGGAAUUGACGGGGGCCCGCACAAGCGGCGGAGCAUGCGGAUUAAUUCGAUGCAACGCGAAGAACCUUACCAAGGCUUGACAUGAACCGGAACGGCGCAGAGAUGUGUCGGCCACUUGUGGCCGGUUUACAGGUGGUGCAUGGUUGUCGUCAGCUCGUGUCGUGAGAUGUUGGGUUAAGUCCCGCAACGAGCGCAACCCUCGUUCCAUGUUGCCAGCGGGUUAUGCCGGGGACUCAUGGGAGACUGCCGGGGUCAACUCGGAGGAAGGUGGGGACGACGUCAAAUCAUCAUGCCCCUUAUGUCUUGGGCUUCACGCAUGCUACAAUGGCCGGUACAAAGGGUUGCGAUGCUGUGAGGUGGAGCUAAUCCCAAAAAGCCGGUCUCAGUUCGGAUUGAGGUCUGCAACUCGACCUCAUGAAGUCGGAGUCGCUAGUAAUCGCAGAUCAGCAACGCUGCGGUGAUACGUUCCCGGGCCUUGUACACACCGCCCGUCAAGUCACGAAAGUGUACACCCGAAGCCGGUGGCUAACCCUUUUGGGGGGAGCC
Molecule: ribosomal RNA, 889 nt
Filed under: Arthrobacter sp.
Lineage: Bacteria; Bacillati; Actinomycetota; Actinomycetes; Micrococcales; Micrococcaceae
Description: bacterial SSU rRNA
Rfam family: Bacterial small subunit ribosomal RNA
Source: RNAcentral